This 26-nucleotide non-coding RNA is filed under the name Homo sapiens (human). Lineage: Eukaryota; Metazoa; Chordata; Mammalia; Primates; Hominidae. The record is from RNAcentral.
UCACUGAAGAGCUGCUUUCGAGACCC